AGCAGCCGCGGUAAUUCCAGCUCCAAUAGCGUAUAUUAAAGUUGUUGCAGUUAAAAAGCUCGUAGUUGAAUUUCGGGGUUAGUAGGUUGGUCAUGCCUCUGGUAUGUACUGGUCUCACUGAUUCCUCCUUCCUGAUGAAUCUUAAUGCCAUUAAUUUGGUGUUUUGGGGAAUUUGGACUGUUACUUUGAAAAAAUUAGAGUGUUUAAAGCAAGCUAACGCUUGAAUACAUUAGCAUGGAAUAAUGAAAUAGGACGUUCGAUCCUAUUUUGUUGGUUUCUAGGAUUGACGUAAUGAUUAAUAGGGAUAGUUGGGGGCAUUAGUAUUCAAUUGUCGGAGGUGAAAUUCUUGGAUUUAUUGAAGACUAACUACUGCGAAAGCAUUUGCCAAGGAUGUUUUCAUUAAUCAAGAACGAAAGUUAGGGGAUCGAAGACGAUCAGAUACCGUCGUAGUCUUAACCAUAAACUAUGCCGACUAGGGAUCGGAUGAUGUUAAUUUUUUAAUGACUCA
RNAcentral lists this ribosomal RNA (508 nucleotides) under uncultured glomeraceous AM fungus. Its description in RNAcentral is "SSU rRNA". It matches the Rfam family "Eukaryotic small subunit ribosomal RNA", at positions 569 to 1078 of the family's 1831-position model. Lineage: Eukaryota; Fungi; Glomeromycota; Glomeromycetes; Glomerales; Glomeraceae. The record is from RNAcentral.